Molecule: unclassified non-coding RNA, 323 nt
Filed under: Hevea brasiliensis (rubber tree)
Lineage: Eukaryota; Viridiplantae; Streptophyta; Magnoliopsida; Malpighiales; Euphorbiaceae
Source: RNAcentral
AUGAUCAUCACAGAGAUGAGAAUGAUGAUAGAGUUCCGAAAGGGUACAUUCCAGUAAUGGUUGGGAAGGAGAACGAAAAAAUUAAGAUGCUGAUUCAUGUGAAGAUGUUCAAGAAAGCUUAUUUUGUUGAGCUGUUGGAGAUGGCUGCGGAUGAGUUUGGAUAUGAACAUCAAGGAGUACUCCAAAUCCCAUGUGAUGUUGUUUGCUUCAUUAAUAUGCUCAAACAGAUUUCCAGGGGCAAGUAUAUGUAGCUGGUCCUACUUUUUCUUCUUCUUCUUCUUCUCUUUCGUUGCUUGCUUGAAUAAUCAUAUAUUAAUUCCAUA